This 118-nucleotide ribosomal RNA is filed under the name Pteropus alecto (black flying fox). Lineage: Eukaryota; Metazoa; Chordata; Mammalia; Chiroptera; Pteropodidae. The record is from RNAcentral.
GUCUACGGCCAUUCCACCCUGACCACACCUGAUCUUGUCUGAUCUCGGAAGCUAAGUGGGUUAGGCCUGGUUAGUACUUGGAUGGGAGACCACCUAGGAAGACCAGGUGCUGUAGGCA